GGUUAAACACAAAGGUCUUAAAUAGGUUUUUCAGGUAUAUCUUUGAAGGGAUCCUUUUCAUAAUGUCAGAAUAGUAAUCUGAGCCUGUCAGUGGCAAAAACAGCACUUUAAGUGGACAAAAUUAAUGAUGCACAUUUACCCCAUAGGAUUACAUUGCAGCCUGGUCCAGUUUGCAGCUGAGGGU
Molecule: long non-coding RNA, 184 nt
Organism: Etheostoma spectabile (orangethroat darter)
Lineage: Eukaryota; Metazoa; Chordata; Actinopteri; Perciformes; Percidae
Exons: 3
Source: RefSeq, a predicted model, not a curated record